Molecule: ribosomal RNA, 253 nt
Filed under: uncultured bacterium
Lineage: Bacteria
Description: partial 16S ribosomal RNA
Rfam family: Bacterial small subunit ribosomal RNA
Source: RNAcentral
UACGAAGGGGGCUAGCGUUGCUCGGACUCACUGGGCGUAAGGGGCGCGUAGGCGGCCUGAUAAGUCGGGGGUGAAAGCCUGUGGCUCAACCACAGAAUUGCCUUCGAUACUGUUAGGCUUGAGACCGGAAGAGGUGAGUGGAACUGCGAGUGUAGAGGUGAAAUUCGUAGAUAUUCGCAGGAACACCAGUGGCGAAGGCGGCUCACUGGUCCGGUUCUGACGCUGAGGCGCGAAGGCGUGGGGAGCAAACAGG